This 879-nucleotide ribosomal RNA is filed under the name uncultured crenarchaeote. RNAcentral's name for it is "bacterial SSU rRNA". It matches the Rfam family "Archaeal small subunit ribosomal RNA", at positions 44 to 929 of the family's 1478-position model. Lineage: Archaea; Thermoproteati; Thermoproteota. The record is from RNAcentral.
CUAAGCCAUGCGAGUCAUUGUAGCAAUACUAGGCAGACGGCUCAGUAACGCGUAGUCAACCUAACCUAUGGACGGGAAUAACCUCGGGAAACUGAGAAUAAUGCCCGAUAGAACACUAUACCUGGAAUGGUUUGUGUUCCAAAUGAUUUAUCGCCGUAGGAUGGGACUGCGGCCUAUCAGUUUGUUGGUGAGGUAAUGGCCCACCAAGACUAUUACAGGUACGGGCUCUGAGAGGAGUAGCCCGGAGAUGGGUACUGAGACACGGACCCAGGCCCUAUGGGGCGCAGCAGGCGAGAAAACUUUGCAAUGUGCGAAAGCACGACAAGGUUAAUCCGAGUGAUUUGUGCUAAACGAAUCUUUUGUUAGUCCUAGAACCACUAACGAAUAAGGGGUGGGCAAGUUCUGGUGUCAGCCGCCGCGGUAAAACCAGCACCUCAAGUGGUCAGGAUGAUUAUUGGGCCUAAAGCAUCCGUAGCCGGCUCUGUAAGUUUUCGGUUAAAUCUGUACGCUUAACGUACAGGCUGCCGGGAAUACUGCAGAGCUAGGGAGUGGGAGAGGUAGACGGUACUCGGUAGGAAGGGGUAAAAUCCUUUGAUCUAUUGAUGACCACCUGUGGCGAAGGCGGUCUACCAGAACACGUCCGACGGUGAGGGAUGAAAGCUGGGGGAGUAAACCGGAUUAGAUACCCGGGUAGUCCCAGCUGUAAACUAUGCAAACUCAGUGAUGCAUUGACUUGUGGUCAAUGCAGUGCUGCAGGGAAGCCGUUAAGUUUGCCGCCUGGGAAGUACGUACGCAAGUAUGAAACUUAAAGGAAUUGGCGGGGGAGCACCACAAGGGGUGAAGCCUGCGGUUCAAUUGGAGUCAACGCCGGAAAUCACU